UACAGAGGGGGCAAGCGUUGUUCGGAAUUACUGGGCGUAAAGGGCGCGUAGGCGGCCUGUUAAGUCGAACGUGAAAAUCCCCGGGCUCAACCCGGGAACUGCGUCCGAUACUGGCAGGCUUGAAUCCGGGAGAGGGAUGCGGGAAUUCCAGGUGUAGCGGUGAAAUGCGUAGAUAUCUGGAGGAAUACCGGUGGCGAAGGCGGCAUCCUGGACCGGCAUUGACGCUGAGUGAGCGAAAGCCAGGGGAGCAAACGGG
RNAcentral lists this ribosomal RNA (256 nucleotides) under uncultured bacterium. RNAcentral describes it as "partial 16S ribosomal RNA". It matches the Rfam family "Bacterial small subunit ribosomal RNA", at positions 524 to 776 of the family's 1533-position model. The record is from RNAcentral.